AAGUGCCUGUCUGGUACGUGAUUUGGGAGAGAAGUAAAACCGACACGUUUUUUGAAAGGGAGUCGCUGUUGGGCUCUGGUGAGCAGGCCCUUCGAGAGGGAAGCCUAAAGGAGUUCAUUUGACGCCCACCUAGCUUGGGGGUUUUACUUAGCGCCAAACACGGCUACGACGGGUUUUUU
Molecule: non-coding RNA, 179 nt
Filed under: Deltaproteobacteria bacterium
Lineage: Bacteria; Pseudomonadati; Myxococcota; Myxococcia
Description: 6S RNA
Rfam family: 6S / SsrS RNA
About the family: E. coli 6S RNA was the first non coding RNA to be sequenced, but its function was unknown until recently. It consists of 184 nucleotides that fold into an extended hairpin structure with a large single-stranded internal bulge.
Source: RNAcentral